This 512-nucleotide antisense RNA is filed under the name Streptomyces sp. WM4235. Its description in RNAcentral is "Saccharopolyspora sRNA 350". It matches the Rfam family "Saccharopolyspora sRNA 350". The record is from Rfam by way of RNAcentral. Lineage: Bacteria; Bacillati; Actinomycetota; Actinomycetes; Kitasatosporales; Streptomycetaceae.
GUGGCGGUGUGGUCCCACCUCGCGUCGGCGUCCAGCAGGGCGUGCUCGCCGAACCGGUCGCCGUCGGCCAGUACGGCGAGUUCGACCUCGUCACCGUACUUGCCCACAGCCGUCUGGCCGACGCGGCCGUGGGCGAUCAGGUGGAUCUGCCCCGCCGGAGUGCCGCGCUCGACCAACACCUCUCCGGCACGGAAGUCACGCUGGACGCAACGGCCGGCGAGCGCGGUCAGUACGUCCACGUCGUCGAAGUCGCGCAGCAGGGCGAGUUCGCCGAGCUCGCGGGGGAUCACCCGGACGUGGGCCCCGUCCUGGACGAACUCGAUGCGCCCGUCGCCGACCGUGUAACUCAGUCGACGGUUCACCCGAUACGUGCCGCCCUUGGUCUCCACCCAGGGGAGCAUCCGCAGCAGCCACCGGGAGGUGAUCUCCUGCAUCUGAGGGGCGGACUUGGUCGUGGUGGCAAGGUUGCGGGCAGCCGCCGUGCCCAGGCUGCUCUGCCGGGGUUGCGACUG